Molecule: ribosomal RNA, 114 nt
Filed under: Mallorcan basidiomycete 01
Lineage: Eukaryota; Fungi; Basidiomycota
Description: partial 5.8S ribosomal RNA
Rfam family: 5.8S ribosomal RNA
About the family: 5.8S ribosomal RNA (5.8S rRNA) is a component of the large subunit of the eukaryotic ribosome. It is transcribed by RNA polymerase I as part of the 45S precursor that also contains 18S and 28S rRNA. Functionally, it is thought that 5.8S rRNA may be involved in ribosome translocation.
Source: RNAcentral
UACAACUUUCAACAACGGAUCUCUUGGCUCUUGCAUCGAUGAAGAACGCAGCGAAAUGCGAUAAGUAAUGUGAAUUGCAGAAUUCAGUGAAUCAUCGAAUCUUGAACGCACCUG